GGUCCCAAGGGUUGGGCUGUUCGCCCAUUAAAGCGGUACGCGAUCUGGGUUCAGAACGUCGUGAGACAGUUCGGUCCCUAUCCGCUGUGGGCGCGGGAAGUUUGAGGAGUGUGGACCCUAGUACGAGAGGACCGGGUCGAACGAACCUCUGGUGAACCGGUUGUCCCGCCAGGGGCAUAGCCGGGUAGCUAUGUUCGGAUCAGAUAAACGCUGAAAGCAUAUAAGCGUGAAACUGACUCCAAGAUGAGACUUCAAUCUCGAACAGAGUGAAGGGUCGUGGUAGACUACCACGUUGAUAGGCCGCAGGUGGAAGCAUCGCAAGAUGUGGAGCUGAGCGGUACUAAUAGCCCGGAAAUUUUUAGAAU
Molecule: ribosomal RNA, 365 nt
Filed under: Vulcanimicrobiota bacterium
Lineage: Bacteria; Bacillati; Vulcanimicrobiota
Description: partial 23S ribosomal RNA
Rfam family: Bacterial large subunit ribosomal RNA
Source: RNAcentral